Molecule: ribosomal RNA, 564 nt
Filed under: uncultured archaeon
Lineage: Archaea
Description: bacterial SSU rRNA
Rfam family: Archaeal small subunit ribosomal RNA
Source: RNAcentral
CGCGAAUUCGCCCUUCGGGGUGCAGCAGGCGCGAAAACUUUGCAAUGCGGGAAACCGUGACAAGGGAACUCUGAGUGCCCGUAAAAUCGGGCUGUCCAUCGGUUUAAAAAACCGGUGAAGAAAGGGCCGGGCAAGACCGGUGCCAGCCGCCGCGGUAAUACCGGCGGCUCGAGUGGUGGCCACUAUUACUGGGCUUAAAGCGUUCGUAGCUGGUUUGUUAAGUCUCUGGGGAAAUCUUCCGGCUUAACCGGAAGGCGUCUCAGGGAUACUGGCAGACUAGGGACCGGGAGAGGUGAGAGGUACUCCAGGGGUAGGAGUGAAAUCCUGUAAUCCUUGGGGGACCACCUGUGGCGAAGGCGUCUCACCAGAACGGCUCCGACAGUGAGGGACGAAAGCUGGGGGAGCAAACCGGAUUAGAUACCCGGGUAGUCCCAGCUGUAAACGAUGCGCGUUAGGUGUAUCAGUGACCACGAGUCACUGAGGUGCCGAAGAGAAAUCGUGAAACGUGCCGCCUGGGAAGUACGGUCGCAAGGCUGAAACUUAAAGGAAUUGGCGGGGGAGCAC